Molecule: non-coding RNA, 29 nt
Filed under: Homo sapiens (human)
Lineage: Eukaryota; Metazoa; Chordata; Mammalia; Primates; Hominidae
Source: RNAcentral
UCCUGAAUGUUGCAGGUGGGGCCUGGUGA